CCCAUAAUAGAAAGACGUGUUGC
Molecule: non-coding RNA, 23 nt
Filed under: Arabidopsis thaliana (thale cress)
Lineage: Eukaryota; Viridiplantae; Streptophyta; Magnoliopsida; Brassicales; Brassicaceae
Source: RNAcentral